CACCGGGACGCCGAAUAGAUUUCCCUAUUUUCUGCGCCAGGGUUUCGGAUAAAGUUGCCGACGGUCGGUGAAGAUAAGGAGAUGACGGUGACGGUGACGGCGGCGGCGGAGGUAACGAAGAAGGUGAUUUGUGUUUCUGUCGGGUGAGAGAGAGCGACGGAGUUUUCGAGGAAAACUGACGGAGGAGAGAGGGGAAGAGAGAAGAGGUGGCCGGAAAAGGAGAGAGGAGGCGAUGGUUGUGGUGGU
Molecule: non-coding RNA, 246 nt
Organism: Nicotiana tabacum (common tobacco)
Lineage: Eukaryota; Viridiplantae; Streptophyta; Magnoliopsida; Solanales; Solanaceae
Source: RefSeq, a predicted model, not a curated record